CUUCUGUAAAAUGGGGAUAAUAAUUGUACCUAUUUUAUAGGGCAAUUGUGAGGAUUAAAUGAGUUAACUCAUGUCACGCGACUGGAACAGCCCUGGCCUGGGACAGGAGCCUCCCCAGCCUUUAUUAAGGAGGUUACCUCUAACCCUAAUCCUCCCCCGGACCCCAUCCCGGUGAUGUAAUUUCCUGCUCCUCCCCUUCAGCUUCUGGUUCCUGCCCAAAUUCAAAUUCAAAUCCAGCAGCUGCAUUUGUGGAAUACGAUUCAUCCCUGCUACUGAACAAUAUGCCAUUUCCGGCACUUGGAGGUUAUGAAGCACAUGCGUGGUGGUGACAGGACGUUAAUAGGAGCACCAGAUGCACCAGCUUCAUUUCUUGGAUCUUAAACUUGCCACAUAUGAAGUGAAAAGAACUGAGGACAGAGAGAAGCCCGCUUUCAGUCAAUUAUCGCACGUCUAAGGGGUGCCAGGCACUCUUUAGAGGUGUGGUUCUCAAAGUGUGGUCCCUGACCACUAGCAUCAACUUCACUUGGGAUCUUGUUAGAACUGCAAAUUCUCAGGCCCACCCAGACCCACUGCAUCAGAUCCUCCGGGCGUAGGGCCCGCGAUCUGUCUGAGCAACCCUGCAGGGGAUUCUGAUGCAUGCUCAAGUGUGGAAGACUGCUUUGGAAGGAAGGGAUACAGCGUUCAACAGGACAGACAAGGCCCCUGCUCUCCCGGAGUUUCCGUAAAGAGGCAGAGAAACAAGUGUGCAGAUAACAGCCACAUCAUUGAAGACAGUAAUAGAGGCAAUGGAGAAACUGAAAUAAUUGGUGGGGAACAGGAUUGGUCCUGUUUUGAGUGGAUGAGCACAUGGCCUUUGAGGUGAGACCUUCAUUAAAGAAGGAAGUAACUGCAAAGAUGGGGAGCAUGUUUUAGAUCAGAGAGAACUUUAGGGUAAAAGGUGACACAUAGGGUGGGGCUUUCUGUAGCAAGCUCUGUCCUCUCGUCAGCCUCUCACUCUGUGAGGCUGUUCCUGACAGGCACAGUGGGCAGAGAGAACCAAGAAAUAAGCCAGAGGAUGGGGUCUGAGUCCUGACAUCAUCAUUUACCAACCGUGUGACCAAGGCAAGCCAUUGCAUCUCUUGUCUGUAACCCUGGAGACAAAACAGGGAUUCAUGGGAAGAUCAAGUUAGACGACAAACAAAACGUACCUUUUUGUUUUUUACGAAUGUAUUUUGUUAGUAGGUUCAUUAAAAGAACUGUUCUCUCUGUCCUUCCAAAUCUCAUGCUAAAAGCUUUUCUUUAAGAAUUCUUGAGAAGCUAAGCAGUCUUGAUAAAUUUUCCCAUCCAUGAAGGUAUCUGGAAGGAGUUUCCUACAAGUCAUUUGGUCCAUAGAAGAGAACAAUGAUCAAUUCUCAAAUUAAGAUCCUUUAACUUUCUUUUCCAAAGCUAACCAUUUGGGUUUUAAGUCAGAUAUUUCUUCACUCAGGUUAUUGGAGACCCAGAGUUAGUAGCAAUGUGUUUAAAUGACUCACUGUAGGUUUUAAUUCUCCACCUCUUACAGAAAUUUAUUUUUAUUCCUCCAGGACUUGUGAUCAAAGUAUACAGUUCUCAACCCUGCAAAUUGUUGUUCCUUCGCAUUAGAGGCACAUUUGUAAACUGCCUAAUUAUUCUUCCCAGCUGUACGAAAGCCUUAACUGCUUGUUUGAUCUUAAAUGGCAGCAUUUGAACCUUUUAUAUGAAGGCUUCACAAUGGGCUCCGCCAGCCCUGAGAAGCGGUAGCCUGUCUCUGCUACGUUUGCUGUAGACAUAGGAGCACUGGGUAACAAAGGGUCAAGUGCCUUUUCCCAAUGACAGAAGAACACCAACGCUCCACCCACUCCAUGUGUUUUCCGCCAUCUUGUUUCUAUCAGAGCCACUGUACAGGGUGGGUUGGCGACAGGGCGCUGCUGUAAUGGAGCUGGUCUCUGGGAAACCAUUUUCUGCCCCAUGGACCCUGGGCUCUGGAGAAGAUAAAUCCGUGCUGUGAGCAAGCACAGAGAGUUGCCUUCCCUCUAUACUUAGUUGUGUUAACAUUUCCCUUUGGGCAAAUGUUCUGUAUUAUGCACAGUAUCACCAUAUCAGCAAAUUUGGCAAAAUGAGGGACUUGCUUUUCUCUUAGAGUCUUCAAGAACAGACUGAGCCUUGGGAAACAAGCUUUCAGUUGGGAAGUCGGGUCCCUGGACACCGUGACUGAGCUCAGAGGCCAGGGCACAGAAAACAUGGUGCCCUUGUGUGUAACUCAAAAUGAAAACAACUCCAGACCAUGAGAUAAGUGUAAGGAAGUCCAGUGUAGAACUGGUUUCCCAUGAAGACUACUUUGAUCCAUUUUUUUCUUUAAUACCAAAUGUUAUGUUCUUCUCCUCACCCUCCUCCUCCAACCCCUCAUGAUUGUAUUUUGUGACUGUGUGUGCAUGCAUGUGCAUCUAUGUGUGUGCAUGUGGGCUGGUGCCCAGAGCACUUACAUGGUGAGCCUGUGGGAAAUCCAGCUCUGACUGUAGACUCAGCUCUUCGCCAACUAGCGACAGGCAGUAAGGCAAUUAGUGGGACAGCCAUGAGCUUUAGAGUCAGAUUUGGAUCUGAAUCUCACCUCCCCUCCCUCUUGGUUGUGCGACCUUGAAAAGGUUACAUAACCUUUCUGAUAGCCUCAUCUAUAAAACUGAGGUGAGUAAAAUCCCUACUUCUCAGGUUUGUAUGAGAAUGAAAUUAAAUUCUGUUUAAUAAAAUUAAUGACAGACGCUCAAUAAACCUUAUGUGCCUUUUCUUUUUAUAAUUCUGUUUUCUUGUCCAUCAAAGGAAAAUUACCAUAACUGAAAAAAAAAAAGAAAAGACAUGUAAAUUCAAGUGCCGGACAAAUAUAAGGUAAUUAUCAAAUUAAACUUCUUGGGGAAUAGAAGUGAUACAUUGACUUUUGGUGAAACAAUCUUCACCAUGA
Long non-coding RNA from Choloepus didactylus (southern two-toed sloth), 2950 nucleotides. RefSeq lists it as uncharacterized. The transcript is spliced from 4 exons. The record is from RefSeq and is a predicted model, not a curated record. Lineage: Eukaryota; Metazoa; Chordata; Mammalia; Pilosa; Megalonychidae.